GUGCGCGCGACUGGCGAUAGGCCGAAAUGGCUGACGUGGUGCACCACUGGGAAGCGCGCCGCAUGAUCCUGAGAGGUGAUUGCGUUCCGCCGUUCGCCUGGGCAGUCCU
RNAcentral lists this non-coding RNA (109 nucleotides) under zebrafish metagenome. Its description in RNAcentral is "ZMP/ZTP riboswitch". It matches the Rfam family "ZMP/ZTP riboswitch aptamer (pfl RNA motif)". From Rfam's summary of the family: Previously known as pfl RNA. ZMP is also known as AICAR. The record is from RNAcentral.